RNAcentral lists this transfer RNA (72 nucleotides) under Neotoma lepida (desert woodrat). It matches the Rfam family "tRNA". Rfam says of the family: Transfer RNA (tRNA) molecules are approximately 80 nucleotides in length. The record is from Rfam by way of RNAcentral. Lineage: Eukaryota; Metazoa; Chordata; Mammalia; Rodentia; Cricetidae.
AGGAAUGUAGCUCAGUGUUAAAGCACCUGCCUCGUAUGUAUGAGGUCCUGAGUUCAAUCCUCAACACUACCA